GCUCCAAUAGCGUAUAUUAAAGUUGUUGCAGUUAAAAAAGCUCGUAGUUGGAUUUCUGGCAGGAGCGACCGGUCACACACUCUGUGUGUGAACUUGCGUUGUCUCUGGCCAUCCUUGGGAAGAUCCUGUUUGGCAUUAAGUUGUCGGGCAGGGGAUACCAUCGUUUACUGUGAAAAAAUUAGAGUGUUUAAAGCAGGCUU
Molecule: ribosomal RNA, 200 nt
Filed under: uncultured eukaryote
Lineage: Eukaryota
Description: partial 18S ribosomal RNA
Rfam family: Eukaryotic small subunit ribosomal RNA
Source: RNAcentral